GUGGGGAAUCUUGCGCAAUGGGCGAAAGCCUGACGCAGCCAUGCCGCGUGAAUGAUGAAGGUCUUAGGAUUGUAAAAUUCUUUCACCGGGGACGAUAAUGACGGUACCCGGAGAAGAAGCCCCGGCUAACUUCGUGCCAGCAGCCGCGGUAAUACGAAGGGGGCUAGCGUUGCUCGGAAUUACUGGGCGUAAAGGGAGCGUAGGCGGAUAGUUCAGUCAGAGGUGAAAGCCCAGGGCUCAACCUUGGAACUGCCUUUGAUACUGGCUAUCUUGAGUUUGGGAGAGGUGUGUGGAACUCCGAGUGUAGAGGUGAAAUUCGUAGAUAUUCGGAAGAACACCAGUGGCGAAGGCGACACACUGGCCCAAUACUGACGCUGAGGCUCGAAAGCGUGGGGAGCAAACAGGAUUAGAUACCCUAGUAGUCC
Molecule: ribosomal RNA, 425 nt
Filed under: uncultured bacterium
Lineage: Bacteria
Description: bacterial SSU rRNA
Rfam family: Bacterial small subunit ribosomal RNA
Source: RNAcentral